UACGGAGGGAGCUAGCGUUGUUCGGAAUUGCUGGGCGUAAAGCGCACGUAGGCGGCUUUUUAAGUCAGGGGUGAAAUCCCGGAGCUCAACUCCGGAACUGCCCUUGAAACUGGGAAGCUAGAAUCUUGGAGAGGCGAGUGGAAUUCCGAGUGUAGAGGUGAAAUUCGUAGAUAUUCGGAAGAACACCAGUGGCGAAGGCGACUCGCUGGACAAGUAUUGACGCUGAGGUGCGAAAGCGUGGGGAGCAAACAGG
This 253-nucleotide ribosomal RNA is filed under the name uncultured bacterium. RNAcentral describes it as "partial 16S ribosomal RNA". It matches the Rfam family "Bacterial small subunit ribosomal RNA", at positions 524 to 776 of the family's 1533-position model. The record is from RNAcentral.